GACGAACGCUGGCGGCGGGCUUAACACAUGCAAGUCGAACGGAAAGGCCCUGCAUUUGUGGGGUGCGCGAGUGGCGAACGGGUGAGUAAGACGUGAGUAACCUGCCGUUGACUGUGGGAUAACUUCAGGUAACUGGGGCUAAUACCGGAUCGGAGCUUCUGCUGAAUAGAGGGGGGGGGAUACUUUCGGCGGUUGGGGAUGGACGCGCGGCUGAUCAGCUUGUUGGUGGGGGAGUGGCUUACCAAGGCUUUGACGGGUAGCCGGCCUGAGAGGGGGACCGGCCACAUUGGGACUACGAGACGGACCAGACUCCUACGGGGGGCAGCAGGGGGGAAUAUUGCACAAUGGGCGGAAGCCUGAUGCAGCAACGCCGCGUGCGUGAUGACGGCCUUCGGGUUGUAAACCGCUUACGCCUGUGACGAAGCGUGAGUGACGUUAAUGGGUAAAGAAGCACCGGCUAACUACGUG
RNAcentral lists this ribosomal RNA (468 nucleotides) under uncultured bacterium. Its description in RNAcentral is "partial 16S ribosomal RNA". It matches the Rfam family "Bacterial small subunit ribosomal RNA", at positions 28 to 507 of the family's 1533-position model. The record is from RNAcentral.